ACGAACGCUGGCGGCGUGCUUAACACAUGCAAGUCGAACGGAAAGGCCCUGCUUUUGUGGGGUGCUCGCGUGGCGAACGGGUGAGUAACACGUGAGUAACCUGCCCUUGACUUUGGGAUAACUUCAGGAAACUGGGGCUAAUACCGGAUAGGAGCUCCUGCUGCAUGGUGGGGGUUGGAAGUUUCGGCGGUUGGGGAUGGACUCGCGGCUUAUCAGCUUGUUGGUGGGGUAGUGGCUUACCAAGGCUUUGACGGGUAGCCGGCCUGAGAGGGUGACCGGCCACAUUGGGACUGAGAUACGGCCCAGACUCCUACGGGAGGCAGCAGUGGGGAAUAUUGCACAAUGGGCGGAAGCCUGAUGCAGCAACGCCGCGUGCGGGAUGACGGCCUUCGGGUUGUAAACCGCUUUCGCCUGUGACGAAGCGUGAGUGACGGUAAUGGGUAAAGAAGCACCGGCUAACUACGUG
Molecule: ribosomal RNA, 466 nt
Filed under: uncultured bacterium
Lineage: Bacteria
Description: partial 16S ribosomal RNA
Rfam family: Bacterial small subunit ribosomal RNA
Source: RNAcentral